UGCAAAUAACCAAUUAGGUCAGGGGUCCAUC
Molecule: non-coding RNA, 31 nt
Filed under: Homo sapiens (human)
Lineage: Eukaryota; Metazoa; Chordata; Mammalia; Primates; Hominidae
Source: RNAcentral